CUACAAUGGCGUAAACAAAGGGAGGCGAAGGAGUAAUCCGGAGCGAACCCCAAAAAUAACGUCUCAGUUCGGACUGUGGUCUGCAACCCGACCACACGAAGCUGGAAUCGCUAGUAAUCGCGAAUCAGAAUGUCGCGGUGAAUACGUUCCCGGGUCUUGUACACACCGCCCGUCACACCAUGGGAGUCAGCAACGCCCGAAGUCAGUGACCUAACCGAAAGGGAGGAGCUGCCGAAGGCGGGGCCGGUAACUGGGGUGAAGUCGUAACAAGGUAUC
Molecule: ribosomal RNA, 276 nt
Filed under: uncultured bacterium
Lineage: Bacteria
Description: partial 16S ribosomal RNA
Rfam family: Bacterial small subunit ribosomal RNA
Source: RNAcentral